CACGUAGGGCGCAAGCGUUGUCCGGAAUUAUUGGGCGUAAAGAGCUCGUAGGCGGCCUGUUACGUCUGCUGUGAAAUCCCGGGGCUUAACCCCGGGCGUGCAGUGGAUACGGGCAGGCUGGAGGCAGGCAGGGGAGAACGGAAUUCCCGGUGUAGCGGUGAAAUGCGCAGAUAUCGGGAGGAACACCGGUGGCGAAGGCGGUUCUCUGGGCCUGUACUGACGCUGAGGAGCGAAAGCGUGGGGAGCGAACAGG
RNAcentral lists this ribosomal RNA (253 nucleotides) under uncultured bacterium. RNAcentral describes it as "partial 16S ribosomal RNA". It matches the Rfam family "Bacterial small subunit ribosomal RNA", at positions 524 to 776 of the family's 1533-position model. The record is from RNAcentral.